UGGGCGCAGCUGAUCAGCCAUGCCGCGUGAGUGAUGAAGGCCCUAGGGUUGUAAAGCUCUUUCUCCAGGGAAGAUAAUGACAGUAUCUGGUAAAGAAACCCCGGCUAACUCCGUGCCAGCAGCCGCGGUAAUGUGCCGGCCCCCCC
RNAcentral lists this ribosomal RNA (146 nucleotides) under uncultured Tropicibacter sp. RNAcentral describes it as "partial 16S ribosomal RNA". It matches the Rfam family "Bacterial small subunit ribosomal RNA", at positions 372 to 535 of the family's 1533-position model. The record is from RNAcentral. Lineage: Bacteria; Pseudomonadati; Pseudomonadota; Alphaproteobacteria; Rhodobacterales; Roseobacteraceae.